GGAGCUGCUGAAAAUUUUCAAGAGCGUUGAGGAUAAGAUGCCAGGUUUCAGUUACCAGCUCCAGGUCGACGCACACAACACCGUUAGAAGUGUGUUUUGGACAGAUCAGAUAGGUAGAGCAAACUACAGCCAGUUUGGGCAGUUUGUCUCUUUUGAUACCACCUAUUCCACAAACCAGUACAAUAUGCCAUUUGCCCCUGUGGUUGGCGUGGACAACUAUGGAAAGACUGUCCUGUUUGGUGCGGCAUUGUUAAAGGAUGAGAAGGAAGACACAUUCAGGUGGCUGUUUCGAGCAUUUCUGAGGUCGAUGGGGGGUCUGCACCCGGAAACCAUAAUAACAGACCAGGAUGUCGCAAUGCGGAAUGCUAUACGUGCUGUCAUGUUGCACUCAACCCACCGCUUCUGCAACUGGCACAUCCAGAGGAAAAUGAAACAGAAACUAGUCCCUUUCUUUGCUGCCCGAGGAACUUUGCAUGCAGAGCUCCGGAGCCUAAUCAGGAACUCGUUCACGCCUGAAGAGUUUGAGAGCGGAUGGCACGCUCUGUUGGAGAAGCAUGAUGCUCAGGAUAAAACCCACCUAAAGCGGUUGUUUGAAAUCAGAGAUGAAUGGGUCCCUGCAUACUACAUGGACAAAUUUUUCCCAUUCACGUCAUCAACUGGGAGGAGCGAGAGCACCAACUCUCUGUUCAAAGGCUACGUCCUCCGAAAGGACUCGAUUGCAACGUUUUUCAACCAGUACCAGAUUGUUCAGGAAAAGAAGCAUAGCGACCUUGAUCGACUGAGAGAGAAAUCAGAACUGAGAGAACAACGUUACUGGAGUUACGACCCUAUGGAAAGAGAGGCUGCAAAGAUAUACACACCACCAAUAUACGCCAAAUUUGUGGAAGAGAUGAAAAAAACCACAGCUUACAGAGUUGAGGUCGUUGCUGCUGCUGGUGAAACAAGAGCAUUUCUUGUGACAAGGCGUGGCGAAUACCAGGACGCAGAGUUUUCAAAGAGGAUAUACACUGUGUCAAUAUCACCUGAUGAUGUCUACCGCUGCUCAUGUUCCAAGUUCAAUCGGGACGGUUUGCAUUGCUGCCACGUCCUAGCGGUAGCAAGACACAUUGGGUUGAGUAGC
This 1120-nucleotide ribosomal RNA is filed under the name Triticum aestivum (bread wheat). Its description in RNAcentral is "partial small subunit ribosomal RNA". The record is from RNAcentral. Lineage: Eukaryota; Viridiplantae; Streptophyta; Magnoliopsida; Poales; Poaceae.